RNAcentral lists this transfer RNA (68 nucleotides) under Ictidomys tridecemlineatus (thirteen-lined ground squirrel). RNAcentral describes it as "Spermophilus tridecemlineatus (thirteen-lined ground squirrel) tRNA". It matches the Rfam family "tRNA". From Rfam's summary of the family: Transfer RNA (tRNA) molecules are approximately 80 nucleotides in length. Their secondary structure includes four short double-helical elements and three loops (D, anti-codon, and T loops). The record is from Rfam by way of RNAcentral. Lineage: Eukaryota; Metazoa; Chordata; Mammalia; Rodentia; Sciuridae.
GUGGUGGUUCAGUGGUAAAGCGCUUGCCUGGCACGCAGGAGGCACUGGGUUCGAUCCUCAGCACCACA